RNAcentral lists this ribosomal RNA (486 nucleotides) under uncultured bacterium. RNAcentral's name for it is "bacterial SSU rRNA". It matches the Rfam family "Bacterial small subunit ribosomal RNA", at positions 28 to 507 of the family's 1533-position model. The record is from RNAcentral.
GACGAACGCUGGCGGCGUGCCUAACACAUGCAAGUCGAGCGGAGUCGAUCGACGGAAGCCUUCGGGCGGAAGAUGGUUGACUUAGCAGCGGAUGGGUGAGUAACGCGUGGGCAACCUGCCUCGAAGACCGGGAUAACAGCCCGAAAGGGCUGCUAAUACCGGAUGUGGUCAAAGAUCCGCAUGGAUUUUUGAUUAAAGGGGAAACCCGUUUCGAGAUGGGCCCGCGUCCUAUCAGCUAGUUGGUGAGGUAAAAGCUCACCAAGGCGACGACGGGUAGCCGGCCUGAGAGGGUGACCGGCCACACUGGAACUGAGACACGGUCCAGACUCCUACGGGGGGCAGCAGUGGGGAAUCUUCCACAAUGGGCGAAAAGCCUGAUGGAGCGACGCCGCGUGAGCGAAGAAGGCCUUCGGGUUGUAAAGACUCUGUCUGGAGGGACGGAAGGAAGUGACGGUACCUCCGGAGGAAGCCACGGCUAACUACGUG